AGAGUUUGAUCAUGGCUCAGGACGAACGCUGGCGGCGUGCCUAAUACAUGCAAGUCGAGCGAGCUUGCCUAGAUGAUUUUGGUGCUUGCACUAAAUGAAACUAGAUACAAGCGAGCGGCGGACGGGUGAGUAACACGUGGGUAACCUGCCCAAGAGACUGGGAUAACACCUGGAAACAGAUGCUAAUACCGGAUAACAACACUAGACGCAUGUCUAGAGUUUGAAAGAUGGUUCUGCUAUCACUCUUGGAUGGACCUGCGGUGCAUUAGCUAGUUGGUAAGGUAACGGCUUACCAAGGCAAUGAUGCAUAGCCGAGUUGAGAGACUGAUCGGCCACAUUGGGACUGAGACACGGCCCAAACUCCUACGGGAGGCAGCAGUAGGGAAUCUUCCACAAUGGACGAAAGUCUGAUGGAGCAACGCCGCGUGAGUGAAGAAGGGUUUCGGCUCGUAAAGCUCUGUUGGUAGUGAAGAAAGAUAGGGGUAGUAACUGGCCUUUAUUUGACGGUAAUUACUUAGAAAGUCACGGCUAACUACGUGCCAGCAGCCGCGGUAAUACGUAGGUGGCAAGCGUUGUCCGGAUUUAUUGGGCGUAAAGCGAGUGCAGGCGGUUCAAUAAGUCUGAUGUGAAAGCCUUCGGCUCAACCGGAGAAUUGCAUCAGAAACUGUUGAACUUGAGUGCAGAAGAGGAGAGUGGAACUCCAUGUGUAGCGGUGGAAUGCGUAGAUAUAUGGAAGAACACCAGUGGCGAAGGCGGCUCUCUGGUCUGCAACUGACGCUGAGGCUCGAAAGCAUGGGUAGCGAACAGGAUUAGAUACCCUGGUAGUCCAUGCCGUAAACGAUGAGUGCUAAGUGUUGGGAGGUUUCCGCCUCUCAGUGCUGCAGCUAACGCAUUAAGCACUCCGCCUGGGGAGUA
Molecule: ribosomal RNA, 915 nt
Filed under: uncultured bacterium
Lineage: Bacteria
Description: bacterial SSU rRNA
Rfam family: Bacterial small subunit ribosomal RNA
Source: RNAcentral